AAUGAGCGUUGGCGGCGUGGAUUAGGCAUGCAAGUCGUGCGAUAACCCCGCAAGGGGGGAAAGCGGCGAAAGGGAGAGUAACGCGUGGGUACCUGCCCCUUGGUCCGGAAUAGCUGCGGGAAACUGCAGGUAAUGCCGGAUAAUAUCCUCGGAUCAAAGGUGUGAUUCCGCCGAGGGAGGGGCCCGCGUUCUAUUAGCUAGUUGGUAGGGUAAUGGCCUACCAAGGCGACGAUGGAUACCGGGUGUGAGAGCAUGACCCGGCUCACUGGGACUGAGACACUGCCCAGACGCCUACGGGUGGCUGCAGUCGAGAAUCUUCGGCAAUGGGCGCAAGCCUGACCGAGCGACACCGCGUGCGGGAUGAAGGCCUUCGGGUUGUAAACCGCUGUCGUAGAGGAGGAAAUGCCAUGGGGUUCUCUCCAUGGUUUGACCUAUUCUAGGAGGAAGGACGGGCUAAGUUCGUGCCAGCCGCCGCCGUAA
Molecule: ribosomal RNA, 480 nt
Filed under: uncultured bacterium
Lineage: Bacteria
Description: partial 16S ribosomal RNA
Rfam family: Bacterial small subunit ribosomal RNA
Source: RNAcentral